This 244-nucleotide ribosomal RNA is filed under the name uncultured bacterium. Its description in RNAcentral is "partial 16S ribosomal RNA". It matches the Rfam family "Bacterial small subunit ribosomal RNA", at positions 90 to 334 of the family's 1533-position model. The record is from RNAcentral.
CCGGACCGGCGCACGGGUGAGUAACGCGUAUGCAACUUACCUAUCAGAGGGGAUAACCCGGCGAAAGUCGGACUAAUACCGCAUGAAGCAGGGGCCCCGCAUGGGGAUAUUUGCUAACGAUUCAUCGCUGAUAGAUAGGCAUGCGUUCCAUUAGGCAGUUGGCGGGGUAACGGCCCACCAAACCGACGAUGGAUAGGGGUUCUGAGAGGAAGGUCCCCCACAUUGGUACUGAGACACGGACCAA